This is a small nuclear RNA of Anolis carolinensis (green anole), 129 nucleotides long. Its record names the gene U2. It matches the Rfam family "U2 spliceosomal RNA". From Rfam's summary of the family: U2 is a small nuclear RNA (snRNA) component of the spliceosome (involved in pre-mRNA splicing). The record is from Ensembl. Lineage: Eukaryota; Metazoa; Chordata; Lepidosauria; Squamata; Anolidae.
CUCACACUUGGCCUUUUGACUAAAACCAAGUGUAAUAUCUGUUCUUAUCAGUUUAAUAUCUUAUACGCCCUCUAUUUGAGAACAGUUGAAGUAGACAUGGGAACAGACUUGGAGAAAGAGUUAACUUUU